AUGGCGGUUCCACUCAGAAUGAACCACAACAAACGAGGCGGCAUGCUUGCUCGCUUGAAGAUUCUCGUCAACUCUCACUCUCAGAGCUUCCACUCCCCUGCGCCCAAACGACCAAAGCAAGAUCAAUCAUCAACAGAAAAUGACUUGGAUUACUCUAUUUGCCGGGGUAAAAUUACUGCUUCUGCAUUUUUUAUUUUGCUUAGCUCUUCACCACUGAUGGAAGAGUUUUACUCUGCUUCUGCCUGCGUUUUCAUGUUGUCUGAAUUUGUUUUUCUUAUCGAGCCACUGAUGUUGUCAGGCAGAAUGCACAUAAACACGUUUGUAACUGAUUCUGAGUUUUGUCCUGAAACUUCUUCGGAGAAAAGGAUUUGGUCCUACUUAGUAGGUGAGAAAGCGGUUUUGUGGUUCAGCCGCGCCGAAGUUGUUGGACGUUGUUUUCCAAUAUGCUUGGUUCAUAUAAAAGGCUCUGUAGUUGAGGUAACCAGUUUUGAGACAGUGGCACGAACUUCCAAUAGGAAGGAACAAUUUUUACACUCUCUGUUGCCCAAAUGCAGUAAUAAAAAGGACUUAUUUCGCUGCAAAAACUCCUUGCGCAGGGACUUCACAAUUAAUAGUUUAUUUUAUGACCCCUUUGCCAAUAAAAUCUACCAUUAUACUGAUGGAAUGGCUGAUUUGAGGUCAUUAAAGCUAGAAACUGUUAUCCCUGCUCAGAUGUCCUUUAAAGAGGAUCCUGGGAGAAUUUUGUGUGGCUUCCAAAUUGCAGCUCGGCUUGGUUUAUCAUUUAUCAAGGGAGACUGAGGCUGCAAUGUGGAAAUAUUCUUCACUUGUUAAGAGCUUGGACAAGAAUAAAAUUAUGAUUGAAUUGAACUACAUGCUGUCUUAUGGAGCUUCUGAACCAUCUCUGCGUCUACUUUGGAAACUCAAAUUGCUUGAAUUUUUACUUCCCGUGCAUGCAGCAUAUCUUGAUGAACAAGCGAUCAAAGAAGAUGUGCUCUGGCUUCCAAUAUGUUGAUGAAAUUAUUCUUCCAUCUUGAUAAUUUGGUUGCAUGCGAUCGACCUUGUGAUUGCACUCUAUGGACUGGAAGCAUUUCACCUGGCAUUAGUAAAUAAUCCUCAAGAUGCUCUAGUGGUGUGGGCAUUUGCUUCUGUUCUAUAUCAUGGGGAGUGGGAAAAGGGUAUUAAAUUUGCCAAAGAACAUGCAAAAAUGUUUGUUAAUUUUGCACCGGAAAUAAGGAUGUCCAGUAUAUACAAAUCAUGUCUAGAUUGAGAACAAUAGUCUUCUUCAAUCCAUGUCUAGAUACCCAUCUUUUCCACAAUCUGCCAUGGUAAGUCAAUCUAUUUUGGUAAGUUGCAACAGGAUCAGGUUCUGUUCUAAUUGAUUGUCUUAUUCAACCAUUUCAUAGUUAGGGUUUAUGAUACUUCCUUGUUUCUAGUUAUACCUUGUUCACUGUUAAUUAUUUUGGGCUCUGAAAUUGAAGUGGCUCUGAUAUCAUGUAAAGAAACAAUAAUAGAAAAUUCAAUUCCUAUGUGGCUAAUCAUAAAACAUGACUACAUACGUCACUAAAUAAAUGAAUAUUACAUGGAGAGGUAUAAUUGACUGAACAUAAUUCAUAAAUAUGAUAGCUUAUGUGCUCCAAAGCACACUACUUAUACUGACCUCAGUUCAAAGGUUUUAUUUUUAGGCAGUUGCCUUGUUUUUAAUCGCAGAUAAUCUGGUGAAGUGCAUGAAGUACCAUAUGCAUUGUAAUUCUAUCAUAAUUUUUAAUCAGAGGCUGAGAUGUGUCAAUCCUUUAGGUCAUUCUUUGCUCAAAUUGUCAUCUCAUGCAUCAAAAUCAUGUGUUCUUUUUUUUAUUAUUGAAUUUUUAUUUUGGGCAUAAAAGGAUAGAGUUAGUGUUCCCUUUCCCUGGGAUAGGAAUGGGCUAAACAAAAUUCUGAUAAUAUCUCCAAGAAUGGAAACUUUGGAAUGAAAUUGGUUUCAUACAGUAGUGUUUCUGAUGAUCUCUGGAUUUCAGCUUUGAAGAAAAAUUUUCCCCUGCAUAUUGAAAACUCAUUUGGUACCUUAUCUUUUCACUGUUUCAUCUCCAAAUGAUAUUGUAAAGUAAGAAAAUGGGAAAACUUUAUCCAAUAAAGCUUUGUUUCAUGGUGUAUGACAUUUAUACUCUAUUUGCAUUUCCUUAAGUGACUUGUUAAUGAAUAAUGUAGCUUGGGAAAAGAAAAAGCACUAUGCAUUUUUCUUUUGAUGAAGAAAUCAAGAUUUGAAUGUAAGCAGCCAUCAGUCAAUGGACAUCAUGUAGCUUAUUGGAAAUUGGAACAUGGUAGUUGAUAAUUUUGUAUUUCUACUGGGAUAUUAUCAUUUUCUGCCCUAUUACCAAACUGGUAUAGAACCUGAUUAUAAAGUUGUCUCCAUAGGUUUGAUCGAGCCAUCUUUUACCUCUCUUUAAAUCGAUCAUUAUGUCCAUUUGAAGACUUUAUUCUGUUGUAAUUCACAAGGCUCCAAUCCAAAUGAAUCUUUGUGGAUUUCAGGUAUUUGUACCCAAGAAAGCAGGGAAACUUGCUUAUGCGAUUUUCAAAAUGCUGGCCAGUGAUGUUGAAUUUUACAAGACUGAAAAAAGAAAAAAUUCAAAAAUAAAUUAUGACAUGCUUGGGAAGGGACACCUUUCUGCAUUUGUUUUGGGCAAAAUUGUUCUUGAAACUAUGAGUAGUGGAACUGUUGGGGAUGGGGAGGAUUCUGAAGCUGGACAAUGUCACCUUAAGACUGAGGGCACCAAAGAAACUGCUCAAUCGCAACUUCCUGAUGUAGUAAACCAUGAAGUGGCGGCAAUGAAUGGUGAAGGACAACUUUUAUCAAUACCAGCAAGGAAAAAACAAGAAACGGAAAUUGGUUGAGAAUAGAUGAAAGAAGAAAAUGAGCUCAGGGAACCAAGAAUUGUAUGAGAAAUUUGAAUACAAGGAAAAUAAAGAGGAGCACCAGAAGCUAGUUAAGUUAAGCAAGAAGGUUGAUCUGUCUACAGAGGAUUCUUUGCCCAAAAUGAAAAAUGAUUACAGAAAAUGGUUGAUAAGUGAUAGGAAGAAAAUCACCAGUGCCAAUAAAAGUUCUCUACACCAAGCUAGGCAUAUGAAAACGGAUGAACACAGCACCUGCAUGCGAUCACAAUCUACAGUAUCCGAGAGUCAUCAAGUGGUAGCUAACAACAACAUAGACGUGGAUGCAUAAACAACAAAUGAGUCAGUCUUAAUGAAGAAAAAAAAGGGUUUAUCACUAGUUGAAAUGUUUAAAGGGAAAUAAAGACAGCAACCACAAAAAGAAAAAAAAAAACAAGCAAAGUAAGUCUUCACUCCCAGUCUAUUCAAGUGACGGAUAACAAUUUUUUGUAGCAGCAGAUGUUUUAUUUCCUCCAUCAUAGUUCAGAGACAAAACAAGAAGCACUAGAAACAGAGUUUAGCUUCCUACUUCCCUUUUUCCCUUGAAACUUAGCAGUUUAAAAUUGCAUUCAGUUCCUCCAGAUUGAUCUUAUGCUUAUAUUUUUUAAGGCUCUCUUGGGUCUACGUCAUUAUUGUCUCCAUUUGGAGAUUUCCCUUCCCUCCAUCAUUUAUUUUGACAAGAACCGAGGGGAGCUUUUUGUUGGGUAUCUGUAUGAUUGUAUGAAAUACAACUGCUAUAUGGUUGGUCACAUGAUUCAUUACGUAAAUUAAUUCCAAACGAUAUAAACCUAUAGAAA
This is an RNA transcript of Glycine soja, 3719 nucleotides long. It is a transcript of the gene named poly(A) polymerase I-like, with no coding region annotated. NCBI's taxonomy places the organism in Eukaryota, Viridiplantae, Streptophyta, Magnoliopsida, Fabales, Fabaceae. The record is from RefSeq and is a predicted model, not a curated record. The transcript has 13 exons.